AGGCUUAACACAUGCAAGUCGAGGGGCAGCACGAGGUAGCAAUACUUUGGUGGCGACCGGCGCACGGGUGAGUAACGCGUAUGCAACCUUCCUUUUACAGGAGGAUAGCUUCCGGAAACGGAAAUUAAUACUCCAUACAAUUACGAAGUGGCAUCACUUUCAGAUUAAAGCUACGGCGGUAAAAGAUGGGCAUGCGUAACAUUAGCUAGUUGGUGAGGUAAAGGCUCACCAAGGCGACGAUGUUUAGGGGUCCUGAGAGGGUUAUCCCCCACACUGGUACUGAGACACGGACCAGACUCCUACGGGAGGCAGCAGUGAGGAAUAUUGGUCAAUGGGCGCAAGCCUGAACCAGCCAUCCCGCGUGCAGGAAGACGGCCCUAUGGGUUGUAAACUGCUUUUCUGAGGGAAGAAUAACGCUGAUUCGUUCAGUGGACGACGGUACCUCAGGAAUAAGCAUCGGCUAGCUCCGUGCCAGCAGCCGCGGUAAUACGGAGGAUGCUGGCGUUAUCCGGAUUCAUUGGGUCUAAUGGGUGCGUAGGCGGACUGGUAAGUCAG
RNAcentral lists this ribosomal RNA (555 nucleotides) under uncultured organism. RNAcentral's name for it is "bacterial SSU rRNA". It matches the Rfam family "Bacterial small subunit ribosomal RNA", at positions 44 to 591 of the family's 1533-position model. The record is from RNAcentral.